Long non-coding RNA from Chinchilla lanigera (long-tailed chinchilla), 466 nucleotides. RefSeq lists it as uncharacterized. NCBI's taxonomy places the organism in Eukaryota, Metazoa, Chordata, Mammalia, Rodentia, Chinchillidae. The transcript has 3 exons. The record is from RefSeq and is a predicted model, not a curated record.
AAGUCAGUUGUCUCCCAGCUCCUUUUAUCCUUCUUUCAGAUAUGUGCAGAUGUGUGUUCUAUGAACCUUGUACUAUUUUGAUGACAUGGCAGAAGUGAGCUGGGCACUCUGCCGACCAUCAAAGGCCCAAGCCUGGAGCAGGGUGGGUCCCACAGGAAAAAUGAGGUGCUGGUUGCAGAAGAAGGGAUGGACAUCAGCCAGGUGAGAGCACGCUUGCCCGUCAGGAGGCCUCUGGGAGGAGGAGCUGGUGACACCCGGGUGUGGUAGCGCCCGCAGCUGCCUGCACUGCUGAGGGCCUGGGCCAAGCCCUGGCUUCUCGCUUGCGGUUUAGCCUCCGAUUCACUCUGUCUGUCAGCUUGUCUCUCCUGUCAGCCUUUCACUUCCUAGUCAGUGGGUCACUGUCAGGGGAACAGGAAGCAAAAAGAAAGGGAACCAUUGAACCCGAGCUUUCAGUUUGCCCUCUGUG